CAACCCUGUUCCUGGAGAGAAACCCUCCUGUAGGUUUACACUCCAACCCUGUUCCUGGAGAGAUACCCUCCUGUAGGUUUACACUCCAACCCUGUUCCUGGAGAGAAACCCUCCUGUAGGUUUACACUCCAACCCUGUUCCUGGAGAGAAACCCUCCUGUAGGUUUUAACUCCAACCCUGUUCCUGGAGAGAUACCCUCCUGUAGGUUUACACUCCAACCCUGUUCCUGGAGAGAUACCCUCCUGUAGGUUUACACUCCAACCCUGUUCCUGGAGAGAUACCCUCCUGUAGGUUUACACUCCAACCCUGUUCCUGGAGAGAUACCCUCCUGUAGGUUUACACUCCAACCCUGUUCCUGGAGAGAUACCCUCCUGUAGGUUUUAACUCCAACCCUGUUCCUGGAGAGAUGCCCUCCUGUAGGUUUAUACUCCAACCCUGUUCCUGGAGAGAAACCCUCCUGUAGGUUUAUACUCCAACCCUGUUCCUGGAGAGAUACCCUCCUGUAGGUUUUAACUCCAACCCUGUUCCUGGAGAGAUACCCUCCUGUAGGUUUUAACUCCAACCCUGUUCCUGGAGAGAAACCCUCCUGUAGGUUUACACUCCAACCCUGUUCCUGGAGAGAUACCCUCCUGUAGGUUUACACUCCAACCCUGUUCCUGGAGAGAUACCCUCCUGUAGGUUUACACUCCAACCCCAGUUGUAACUAACCUGAUUCAGCUUAUCAACCAGCUAAUUAUUAG
RNAcentral lists this long non-coding RNA (740 nucleotides) under Salmo salar (Atlantic salmon). RNAcentral's name for it is "lncRNA (ENSSSAG00000088588.1)". The record is from RNAcentral. Lineage: Eukaryota; Metazoa; Chordata; Actinopteri; Salmoniformes; Salmonidae.